This 217-nucleotide unclassified non-coding RNA is filed under the name uncultured Chytridiomycota. RNAcentral's name for it is "sequence contains ITS2". RNAcentral also lists the same sequence under 1 other name. The record is from RNAcentral. Lineage: Eukaryota; Fungi; Chytridiomycota.
GUAUUCAUUCCCCGCUCUUUGUUAAUUUAUUAACUAGUCUGGGGAGAUUUGAGUCGUCCCACUUACACUGGGUGACUUUAAAACUAUAGCUGCCAGAUGCUUCUUAGCAGUGGAAAAGUAUGUGUAUGGAACCUCGGUUUCUCUAAUGCUUAGUACCGGCUGAAGCGCUUAGUCUGGCACUCACCUAUUAAAGUUUAGUCUUUGGACUGAGCUUGAA